GCUCGCAUCGCGGAGCACACUAUUUCGUUCUUGCGGCUCUCGGGUCCCGGGACAGCAGCCGCAACAGACACCGAUAGCAGCGACAGCACAGCAACACGCAGCAGGAGUAGUUGAAGAAGAAGAAGAAGAAGAAGAAGAAGAAGCAGCUUCUUUUUGGUGUCGUCGAUCGAGCAGAAAGCUGCUCUCUUCUUCUUUCUCUCCUCUUCUUCUAUCCCUUCUCUUAUUCUCCGAUUCGAGCACAGGCUAAGCUUCUCGAGCUGAU
Caenorhabditis elegans is the source of this 262-nucleotide non-coding RNA. The record is from Ensembl. NCBI's taxonomy places the organism in Eukaryota, Metazoa, Nematoda, Chromadorea, Rhabditida, Rhabditidae.